UGGGGAAUAUUGCACAAUGGGGGAAACCCUGAUGCAGCAACGCCGCGUGAGUGACGAAGGCCCUUGGGUUGUAAAGCUCUUUCGGCUCGAAAGAAGGGGUGGUAGGUUAAUACCCUUCCACUUUGACGGUACGAGAAGAAGAAGCACCGGCUAACUCCGUGCCAGCAGCCGCGGUAAUACGGAGGGUGCAAGCGUUGUUCGGAUUGACUGGGCGUAAAGGGCAUGCAGGCGGUUGUCUAAGUUAGAUGUGAAAUCCCAGGGCUCAACCUUGGAAUUGCAUCUAAGACUGGACAUCUUGAAUGUUUGAGAGGUUAGCGGAAUUUGUGGUGUAGGAGUGAAAUCCGUAGAUA
This 350-nucleotide ribosomal RNA is filed under the name uncultured bacterium. RNAcentral describes it as "bacterial SSU rRNA". It matches the Rfam family "Bacterial small subunit ribosomal RNA", at positions 355 to 696 of the family's 1533-position model. The record is from RNAcentral.